RNAcentral lists this long non-coding RNA (528 nucleotides) under Capsicum annuum. RNAcentral's name for it is "long non-coding RNA (CANN_LNC022383)". The record is from RNAcentral. Lineage: Eukaryota; Viridiplantae; Streptophyta; Magnoliopsida; Solanales; Solanaceae.
CAGCCACAACUACACGAAAGUAUAGGAAAAUAUACAGAUAUACACGGUGGUAGUAUCAAAGCAGCAGCAAGGAAAUACAAGGCUCACACAAAUUCAAAGGAAUACUCCCAAAACAAAACUAAACUCAAUUAGGGGGCAAACACCACCGGACUCAACACCCACCGCCCCAAAUACAGGUUCCCAGCCAAUACCCAAUCCCAAGCAGUGGAAGAAACGACCACAGCAACAGCAACAACAGACAACAGACAAUGUCCACAAAUUCCACGCAAGUCAAGGUACAGGAGCUACUACUAGCCUAAUACUAAAUAAAAUGGAAUAUGAAAUAGUGAAAUAAUGAAAUAAAAUGGAAUAUGAAAUAAUGAAAUAAGGAAAUAGAAUGGAAUAUGAAAUAACGAAAAUAAUAAAGGUUAGAAGUCACCGGAUUAUGCUUGGAGCUGCGGCUGCUGGAGACGGAGCGGCGGGUGGCGGCUGGAGACCGGGCGGCGUCUGGCUGGCUGAAGGCCGAGGUGGGGGGGAGGGCUGGUGUAC